Long non-coding RNA from Melospiza melodia melodia, 571 nucleotides. RefSeq lists it as uncharacterized. The record is from RefSeq and is a predicted model, not a curated record. The transcript has 3 exons. Lineage: Eukaryota; Metazoa; Chordata; Aves; Passeriformes; Passerellidae.
GCCCAGGGUGGCCUCGGUGUCCCUGUUCCCAAGGCAUCUGUGCCACAGGGAUGUGAUGCAUGGGUGCCUGUGACACAGACAUCUCCCCCUGCCUCUCCAAAUCUUUUGGGGGCCAAACUCAUGCACUUACUCACAAGAACUGCUCUUCCCACGGGGACAGUUUGGGGGCAAUCCUCACACCCUGUACCCCUGUGUCUCCGUUCCCACACUGCCACCCUGUCCCUUCUCCCUUCCAGCCCAGACCCUCAGCCUUGCUGAUGUCCAGACCACCCAGCUCCUGGUGGAGCCCCUCGGAGGCUGGCGGUGCCGUGGGACUGGGUGACAUUGACCUGCCAGGGCUCAGGGACUGCUGGUGCCACCACGAGGUACAAGGACAGGCAGCACUGUUGGCAGGGACACAACACUGUCCAUGUCACCAAGAGUGGCAUCUACAUGUUUGACAGACCCGGCAGUGGGCUCAGCCCCCUCGUGAGACUCCUAGACGAGCUCUUCUCGGUGCUGGUGCUGGAGGGUCCCCCAGAGCCCACCGUGGGGUCCCUGACUCUCAGCUGCCUCAGCACCCCCAGCCCCC